This is a long non-coding RNA of Equus asinus (donkey), 3918 nucleotides long. The record is from Ensembl. NCBI's taxonomy places the organism in Eukaryota, Metazoa, Chordata, Mammalia, Perissodactyla, Equidae.
GGAGGGACCACGAGGACUGCGGGCCCUAGGGUCCACAGAUGACAUAUCAGUCGAUAGGCAUGCAUUUACUGUUCGAGGGAAACAAAUAAGGGUGCAGCUUAGGCGAAAAGAAAAUCGUCUUAUUGCCAGUGUCUAAACUCCUAACGACGGAAUGUGUCUCUGAGACUAUGAGUGUGGAUACACGUGUACUUAAAACAGCCCCGCCUGUGUGCAGAGCUCUUGCUGUACGUCAACGCUUUACAGGAGCUAUCGCACUUAAGCCUCAGAACAACUUGAUGAGAAAAUUGGACAGUGUUGCAGGUACUCAUUGAUGCAGGCCUACCAGCAGCCACAAAAGUGAGAACUGAAUACACUACAAGAAAUGUUGAAGAAAGAGCUUCAGACAGAAGGGAAAUGAUACCAUUUGGAAAUACAGAUCUACACAAAGGAAUGAUGAGCCCUGGAAAAGGAUUGGUUCCUGGAAGUGGAACUACUGUAUCAAAGAUUUGGAUGUUUUUAAGACCCCAGAAAGUGAUUCUCAUCCAAAACAUAGCAGCAUCGUGUCAUGGAAAAACACUGGACUGGGAGAAUCAGCUCUCGUCUCAACUCUUCCAUUAAAUGAAAGAUUUGAGCUUUUGGAAACCACUUUAACUCUUUGGACCUCAGUUUCGUCAGCUUCAUCGGUCUGCUAUGCCAAAAUGCCAGAAAAUGAACCUCAGUUUCUUGGUGAUAAUAAAGUGAACUGGCUUCCAGCAGAGAGAGAUCACGGCUUCUGUGACGGACUCCUGUACUUCUCCCUUCUCCAACCCCCUUCUCCACUGGCCAGUGCAGUCACCUUGCUCAGCCCUCUGGCCUCGCCUGGAAAACGUCCUCAUCAAUUCAGCUGGCUACCCCACUUGGCUACAGAGUACUAAAGAAGAGGCUGAACUUGAUCCUGCUGCCCUUGCAUACACAACACUCCCAUUGACUCUAGAGAAGACUUAAGUGCAUGAAAGGAUUCCAGGAUCAAAAGGUUAGCUCUACGGGGAGCUGCGUCUGGCUCAAGCAAUCCAUUUUUUUUUCCUAUUGACAGUGAAAACGUUUUAUAGUUCUUUUUCAAAGUUUUUCAAACUUUUACAAAAACAGGCUGCUUGUGAAAAAGUGAGAAGGCAUCUAAUUGAACUAUAUCCAGAGGAGAUCAUGGCAAAGACCAACAGGGAAGAAAACAUUUCUAAAUCACAGUGAUAUUGGUCAAAUCAUUUGUAUUUUAAAAAUAAAGUAUUUGAGGCACAAGCAGAGGGAAAUUUUCAUUAGGCAGCCUGGUUGGGCUAUGAACCAGAAUGUGAGAUAAACUAAAACACAAAGCUCAUGAGUUUUUAUCUUUGUCUGCUAAUGACAUCGGUGGCAGGAUUAUAUAAACUUUGCAUUUUAUGGAAUCUGUGAAAUAGGAAAAAGAAUACAUGCUAUAUCUAAAUGAACAGAUGUGCAGAUGCUUAACCAAUAUUUAAUUCAUUGCUGAGGAAAUAAAUGCCUUAAAAUAUUUUAAAAAGAGAAAUUGCCUUGAGAAUAAUUAACAAGUAGAGUAGUAAUAACAUUUUUGAAGAAAGUGAGAUACGAGUCUAUAUGUUAUACUUCUCAAUUUUCUCCAUUCAUUGGAGCUCCUUAGUGAAUCUAAGCAUUCAUUCAUUCACUUAUCAAACUUUUUUUGUACACUUACAAUGCGCCCAAUGUUAACCUAAUAGUUUUCCAAAACUUCAAUUGAGCAAGUAUAUAAGGAAGUGGAUUACAGUUAAUAAAACAGGACCCACAACUGGGGUUGGGGGAGGGGGCUGUAUGUCUCAAGUGUUUUGCAUCACUCUUCAUUAGGAAAUUUGCCUCAAGAAUUUCUCUGGCUUCACCUGGAACGUACACAUCUUGAUUGGCAAGUGGCUUCUGUGAUCCUACUCCUAGGAGUAGCUAAUGUAAUGUUUUUCUUAAUAUAUGUACUAGGACAGAGAAUGCUGUGUUGAACUAACUUGAAAAGCAUGUUUUAUAAUCAGAAAACUGAUUUAAUGUCAUUAGAGUUUUGAUCUUAAGCAUUUUCUAUUGUAUGAGCAAUGGAAAGGCUUGGUGAGGAGCUUGUCGAAACAGUUCUCUUGCAUUUUCACAUAAUUGGGCUCGACAGUUUUCUGCCAUUGCACAGGAUAACUGCAGUUGAUGGUGUUCAUGUUUUUACUUAAGGGCCAUUGAAUUGUAUUAGAAAUUUCAUAGUACACUCUUGUAAUCCUGUAAGUCAUUUUUGAGUUGCAUGAUUGAAAGUGAAUAAUAAUGUGCCGCAAAACAAAAAUUACUCAUGCAGUUAAAGCUUUUUGUGUGCGUGUAGUUUUAGAAACAACCAGUCCACAGAGAAUAGAGCUCAUGAAAGAAAUGAAAAUACAUGCUCAUCCCCACCCACUCUUUGUUGUCUCGGCUUAUUCAGAUCUGGUGAAAACAUUAAGCCACUUAACCUAAGUGGUAUUGGAUAGCUAAUUUAUUCAGCUUCUGGAAGGUACCAGGUUAGUGCUUGCAGAGGCAGCAUUUUAAAUUUUGGGGAGAGGGGGUUCUAGCAAACUCUUCCAGUUAGCAUGUGUCCAAAGGCCCACAGAAAUAAGGUACUUCUUUUUUCAACGACCUUAGCUUUUCUUGGGAAUUUUUAGAUGUUUUAUGGGUUACGUUCUUAUUUGGUGGUUAAGAUGGCUUGCUGAAAUGGAUCUAGAAAGACUCAGGGCAUUCACUGAUUGAAAAAGAGUUAUUGAGUGGGCACUCAGGGAGAAAAUCAAGGAGAUGUGACAAGGAGCAGUUUCUCUUUCUGGCUCCCAGAUCUCUCUUUUAGCCAAUUAAAAUUAAGGUCUGCCGUUUUCCUAUUUGUGUCAUUCAGGCCAUUGUUUCCAGAAGGGGCUUGCUAGAAUUCAAAGAUGUUCCUUUGGGGCAUUAGCAUAUCGGUUUAGAUGAGUUUGUUAGACUAACUAAGCAGUUACCUAUGGAACUAAGAAAGAAGCGUCUAGGAGGAGUUAGGGCAUAGACAUUCAGAUGUUAACAGAAAAAGAAGUUGGAGGAAGAAAGAUCCUGGGAAUAUAAUAACAUCUGCAGAAGGUAGCCCAGGGGUAGUCACAUAGCAUGGAAUUUUGGCAGCUUGACUUAGCAUAAACAUCCCAGAAUGAUGGUUUUGUUGGGGAUGGGGAUGAUGGAAACAAUAGAGUACCUCCUGUAAAGAGAGUUUAGGUAUUGCUGAAGACAAAUGUAACCUAUUUCAUUUGGAGUUUGGUCUUUACAGUAGCUCUUCAUGGGAGAUUAGAAGGCCUUAGCCUAUAUAUGGGAAAAGGCUUUCUCUCAAGUCUUCACUCUGCUUGAUCGAGGCUGCUUGGGAUGGGGUGCUGGGUCAAGAGAAGUUCUGAAGCCGAUUCCAGACUUAGAGGAAAGAAUUUCACCAUUUAAUGAUUCCUGCCAUGGUCUAACGGGAAGGAGUGAUCAUUGCAGCUUUAGACUCUGCUGCAUUUUUGAGGAUUUGGUGUAUCAGCAAUGGCAGUGAUGACUCAGUCCCCAGUCCUCACAAGUGUGUGAAGAACUUGGGACAUCCAGCUAAUGAAUCUACAAGAGUUCCAAGCAGCCUUGAUGGGCUUCAGCAUUCUCCUUAGAUAUUUGUGUUAACCUGGAAAAUUGCUUCUUGAAGAGAAAAGGAAGUGAUAUUUUUAGAAUUGGAUCAGCAUUUCCAGCACAUCUACUGAUGGGCUAGCUCCUCAGUGUUUACAUGGCAACAGGAUAAACUAUUAUUAGUACUGCUCACAUCGUGGUACAAUAUCAGAAUGUUUUUUGCUGUGGUAGACCAGCUAUACAGAUGAGAAAGUUGAGUGCAUUGAUUUAUUGAAAUUACCUUUGACACUUUAGCUGUGAUUUAUUCUCAGUUUCUUUUCUGAUGUCAGACUGUAAAUUCUCAUGUCCUUG